Molecule: ribosomal RNA, 497 nt
Filed under: uncultured bacterium
Lineage: Bacteria
Description: partial 16S ribosomal RNA
Rfam family: Bacterial small subunit ribosomal RNA
Source: RNAcentral
GACGAACGCUGGCGGCGUGCCUAAUACAUGCAAGUUGAGCGGUGAAGCUUGGUGCUUGCGCCGAUUUGGAGAGCAGCGCACGGGUGAAUAACGCGUGGAGCCUCUGCCUUUGAGCGGGGGACAACAUGUGGAAACGGGUGCUAAUCCCGCAUAACAACUUUAAACAUGAGGUUUAAGGUUAAAAGAUGCAAUUGCAGCACUCACAGAUGAUCCAGCGUCGUAUUGGCGAGGUGGUGGGGUACAAGCGCUCCGAGGGGAUGAUACAUCGUCGCACUGAGAGGGUGAGCGGCCACAUUGGGACUGUGACACGCCACAAACGGCUACGGGAGGCAGCAGGAGGGAAUCUGCGGCAAUGGACGAAAGUCUGACCGAGAAACGCCGCGGGCGGGAAGAAGGGUGUCGGAUCGGAAAUCUCUGUUGUUAGAGAAGAAAGCGGGUUAGAGUGUAAAGCUCAGCAAGUGACGGUAACUACUCAGAAAGCGACGGCUAACUACGUG